AGAGACAGCAGUAGCCGCGGGAAUACGUAGGUCCCGAGCGUUGUCCGGAUUUAUUGGGCGUAAAGCGAGCGCAGGCGGUUAGAUAAGUCUGAAGUUAAAGGCUGUGGCUUAACCAUAGUACGCUUUGGAAACUGUUUAACUUGAGUGCAAGAGGGGAGAGUGGAAUUCCAUGUGUAGCGGUGAAAUGCGUAGAUAUAUGGAGGAACACCGGUGGCGAAAGCGGCUCUCUGGCUUGUAACUGACGCUGAGGCUCGAAAGCGUGGGGAGCAAACAGGAUUAGAUACCCGUGUAGUCCCUGUCUCUUAUACA
RNAcentral lists this ribosomal RNA (309 nucleotides) under uncultured bacterium. RNAcentral describes it as "partial 16S ribosomal RNA". It matches the Rfam family "Bacterial small subunit ribosomal RNA", at positions 504 to 808 of the family's 1533-position model. The record is from RNAcentral.